GAUGAACGCUAGCGGCAGGCCUAAUACAUGCAAGCCGAACGGCAAGUCUGAUAGCAAUAUUAGACCUAGAGUGGCGUAAGGGUGCGUAACACGUAUGCAAUCUACCCGCAACAGGAGGAUAGCUCGGGGAAACUCGAAUCAACCCUCCAUAAGAUCUUAGACCGGCAUCGGUUAGAGAUUAAAUCUGAGGAGGUUGCGGAUGAGCAUGCGUCUGAUUAGCUAGUUGGCGGGGUAAUGGCCCACCAAGGCGAUGAUCAGUAGGGGAACUGAGAGGUUGAUCCCCCACACUGGCACUGAGAUACGGGCCAGACUCCUACGGGAGCAGCAGUAGGGAAUAUUGGACAAUGGGUGGAAGCCUGAUCCAGCCAUGCCGCGUGCAGGAAGAAGGCCUUCUGGGUUGUAAACUGCUUUUAUCUGGGGAUAAAAGGCCUUGCGAGGCAAACUGAAGGUACCAGAUGAAUAA
This 463-nucleotide ribosomal RNA is filed under the name uncultured bacterium. RNAcentral's name for it is "bacterial SSU rRNA". It matches the Rfam family "Bacterial small subunit ribosomal RNA", at positions 28 to 489 of the family's 1533-position model. The record is from RNAcentral.